Molecule: ribosomal RNA, 459 nt
Filed under: uncultured bacterium
Lineage: Bacteria
Description: partial 16S ribosomal RNA
Rfam family: Bacterial small subunit ribosomal RNA
Source: RNAcentral
CCUACGGGAGGCAGCAGUGAGGAAUAUUGGUCAAUGGCCGCAGGGCUGAACCAGCCAAGUCGCGUGAGGGAUGACGGUCCUAUGGAUUGUAAACCUCUUUUGUCAGGGAGCAAAGGCCGCCACGUGUGGCGCUUUGCGAGUACCUGAAGAAAAAGCAUCGGCUAACUCCGUGCCAGCAGCCGCGGUAAUACGGAGGAUGCGAGCGUUAUCCGGAUUUAUUGGGUUUAAAGGGUGCGCAGGCGGAAUGUCAAGUCAGCGGUAAAAUUUCGGGGCUCAACCCCGUCGUGCCGUUGAAACUGGCGUUCUUGAGUGAGCGAGAAGUAUGCGGAAUGCGUGGUGUAGCGGUGAAAUGCAUAGAUAUCACGCAGAACUCCGAUUGCGAAGGCAGCAUACCGGCGCUCAACUGACGCGCAUGCACGAAAGCGUGGGUAUCGAACAGGAUUAGAUACCCGAGUAGUC